This 62-nucleotide transfer RNA is filed under the name Phascolosoma similis. RNAcentral's name for it is "tRNA-Leu". Lineage: Eukaryota; Metazoa; Annelida; Sipuncula; Phascolosomatiformes; Phascolosomatidae. The record is from RNAcentral.
ACUAAGUUGGCAGAGUAUGCAUCUGACUUAGGAUCAGAAGACAGAAAUAUUUCUACUUAGUA